RNAcentral lists this ribosomal RNA (68 nucleotides) under Escherichia coli. Lineage: Bacteria; Pseudomonadati; Pseudomonadota; Gammaproteobacteria; Enterobacterales; Enterobacteriaceae. The record is from RNAcentral. RNAcentral also lists the same sequence under 8 other names.
CCUGGCGGCCGUAGCGCGGUGGUCCCACCUGACCCCAUGCCGAACUCAGAAGUGAAACGCCGUAGCGC